Molecule: ribosomal RNA, 2932 nt
Filed under: Escherichia coli
Lineage: Bacteria; Pseudomonadati; Pseudomonadota; Gammaproteobacteria; Enterobacterales; Enterobacteriaceae
Description: bacterial LSU rRNA
Rfam family: Bacterial large subunit ribosomal RNA
Source: RNAcentral
GGGUUGUGAGGUUAAGCGACUAAGCGUACACGGUGGAUGCCCUGGCAGUCAGAGGCGAUGAAGGACGUGCUAAUCUGCGAUAAGCGUCGGUAAGGUGAUAUGAACCGUUAUAACCGGCGAUUUCCGAAUGGGGAAACCCAGUGUGUUUCGACACACUAUCAUUAACUGAAUCCAUAGGUUAAUGAGGCGAACCGGGGGAACUGAAACAUCUAAGUACCCCGAGGAAAAGAAAUCAACCGAGAUUCCCCCAGUAGCGGCGAGCGAACGGGGAGCAGCCCAGAGCCUGAAUCAGUGUGUGUGUUAGUGGAAGCGUCUGGAAAGGCGCGCGAUACAGGGUGACAGCCCCGUACACAAAAAUGCACAUGCUGUGAGCUCGAUGAGUAGGGCGGGACACGUGGUAUCCUGUCUGAAUAUGGGGGGACCAUCCUCCAAGGCUAAAUACUCCUGACUGACCGAUAGUGAACCAGUACCGUGAGGGAAAGGCGAAAAGAACCCCGGCGAGGGGAGUGAAAAAGAACCUGAAACCGUGUACGUACAAGCAGUGGGAGCACGCUUAGGCGUGUGACUGCGUACCUUUUGUAUAAUGGGUCAGCGACUUAUAUUCUGUAGCAAGGUUAACCGAAUAGGGGAGCCGAAGGGAAACCGAGUCUUAACUGGGCGUUAAGUUGCAGGGUAUAGACCCGAAACCCGGUGAUCGAGCCAUGGGCAGGUUGAAGGUUGGGUAACACUAACUGGAGGACCGAACCGACUAAUGUUGAAAAAUUAGCGGAUGACUUGUGGCUGGGGGUGAAAGGCCAAUCAAACCGGGAGAUAGCUGGUUCUCCCCGAAAGCUAUUUAGGUAGCGCCUCGUGAAUUCAUCUCCGGGGGUAGAGCACUGUUUCGGCAAGGGGGUCAUCCCGACUUACCAACCCGAUGCAAACUGCGAAUACCGGAGAAUGUUAUCACGGGAGACACACGGCGGGUGCUAACGUCCGUCGUGAAGAGGGAAACAACCCAGACCGCCAGCUAAGGUCCCAAAGUCAUGGUUAAGUGGGAAACGAUGUGGGAAGGCCCAGACAGCCAGGAUGUUGGCUUAGAAGCAGCCAUCAUUUAAAGAAAGCGUAAUAGCUCACUGGUCGAGUCGGCCUGCGCGGAAGAUGUAACGGGGCUAAACCAUGCACCGAAGCUGCGGCAGCGACACUAUGUGUUGUUGGGUAGGGGAGCGUUCUGUAAGCCUGUGAAGGUGUGCUGUGAGGCAUGCUGGAGGUAUCAGAAGUGCGAAUGCUGACAUAAGUAACGAUAAAGCGGGUGAAAAGCCCGCUCGCCGGAAGACCAAGGGUUCCUGUCCAACGUUAAUCGGGGCAGGGUGAGUCGACCCCUAAGGCGAGGCCGAAAGGCGUAGUCGAUGGGAAACAGGUUAAUAUUCCUGUACUUGGUGUUACUGCGAAGGGGGGACGGAGAAGGCUAUGUUGGCCGGGCGACGGUUGUCCCGGUUUAAGCGUGUAGGCUGGUUUUCCAGGCAAAUCCGGAAAAUCAAGGCUGAGGCGUGAUGACGAGGCACUACGGUGCUGAAGCAACAAAUGCCCUGCUUCCAGGAAAAGCCUCUAAGCAUCAGGUAACAUCAAAUCGUACCCCAAACCGACACAGGUGGUCAGGUAGAGAAUACCAAGGCGCUUGAGAGAACUCGGGUGAAGGAACUAGGCAAAAUGGUGCCGUAACUUCGGGAGAAGGCACGCUGAUAUGUAGGUGAAGUCCCUCGCGGAUGGAGCUGAAAUCAGUCGAAGAUACCAGCUGGCUGCAACUGUUUAUUAAAAACACAGCACUGUGCAAACACGAAAGUGGACGUAUACGGUGUGACGCCUGCCCGGUGCCGGAAGGUUAAUUGAUGGGGUUAGCCGCAAGGCGAAGCUCUUGAUCGAAGCCCCGGUAAACGGCGGCCGUAACUAUAACGGUCCUAAGGUAGCGAAAUUCCUUGUCGGGUAAGUUCCGACCUGCACGAAUGGCGUAAUGAUGGCCAGGCUGUCUCCACCCGAGACUCAGUGAAAUUGAACUCGCUGUGAAGAUGCAGUGUACCCGCGGCAAGACGGAAAGACCCCGUGAACCUUUACUAUAGCUUGACACUGAACAUUGAGCCUUGAUGUGUAGGAUAGGUGGGAGGCUUAGAAGUGUGGACGCCAGUCUGCAUGGAGCCGACCUUGAAAUACCACCCUUUAAUGUUUGAUGUUCUAACGUUGACCCGUAAUCCGGGUUGCGGACAGUGUCUGGUGGGUAGUUUGACUGGGGCGGUCUCCUCCUAAAGAGUAACGGAGGAGCACGAAGGUUGGCUAAUCCUGGUCGGACAUCAGGAGGUUAGUGCAAUGGCAUAAGCCAGCUUGACUGCGAGCGUGACGGCGCGAGCAGGUGCGAAAGCAGGUCAUAGUGAUCCGGUGGUUCUGAAUGGAAGGGCCAUCGCUCAACGGAUAAAAGGUACUCCGGGGAUAACAGGCUGAUACCGCCCAAGAGUUCAUAUCGACGGCGGUGUUUGGCACCUCGAUGUCGGCUCAUCACAUCCUGGGGCUGAAGUAGGUCCCAAGGGUAUGGCUGUUCGCCAUUUAAAGUGGUACGCGAGCUGGGUUUAGAACGUCGUGAGACAGUUCGGUCCCUAUCUGCCGUGGGCGCUGGAGAACUGAGGGGGGCUGCUCCUAGUACGAGAGGACCGGAGUGGACGCAUCACUGGUGUUCGGGUUGUCAUGCCAAUGGCACUGCCCGGUAGCUAAAUGCGGAAGAGAUAAGUGCUGAAAGCAUCUAAGCACGAAACUUGCCCCGAGAUGAGUUCUCCCUGACUCCUUGAGAGUCCUGAAGGAACGUUGAAGACGACGACGUUGAUAGGCCGGGUGUGUAAGCGCAGCGAUGCGUUGAGCUAACCGGUACUAAUGAACCGUGAGGCUUAACCUUACAACGCCGAAGGUGUUU